GGCAGCUCUGGGACCCAGGCUGUGUGUGUGUGUGUGUGUGUGUGUGUGUGUGUGUGUGUGUGUGUGGUUUUUCUGGGGCUUAUUCCCCGAGGAGCCUGCAGAUGGCAGAGUUGAGCCGGCAAGGAGGAAGUUUCCUCUUGGUUGUUAAGUAUAGUAGUGAAUCCUUGCAUGGUUCAGAGAGUGUGAGAGAAAUCCCCGUGUCCAUCAGGAAACGUGGAACAGGAUCUCCGGUCCUGAAGAUUCAGUCUGCAUCACUCCUGAAGGGGAGGGACACGGGACUGUGUGUUGAGGGUACGGGAUGUGUCACCACUCACGGCCAGGGAGCCUGGAUUGGCGGGAGCCACCUGAGCCUGUGGUCAGCACCUCACAUUUUGCACUGGCAGCAAACGGGGACACAGCAGCUGGACCGGCUGCAGGAUGACCCACAGCUGGAAGAGAAGCAGCCACACGAGCCACAGCCCCCCUUGGAGCCCUCACAGGAGCCACACCUCCCUUGGAGCCCCCACAGGAGCCACAGCCCCCCUUGGAGCCCCACAGAAGACAGAGCCCCCCUUGGAGCCCCCACACGAGCCACAGCCCCCCUUGGAGCCCUCACAGGAGCCACACCUCCCUUGGAGCCUUCAUAGGAGCCACAGCCCCCCUUGGAGCCCCGACAUGAGCUACCGCUGGGACAGGCACAGGCUGGCACACAGCAGCCCAUGGUUCUGACCUAAGCUCCAUAAAGCAUGAACAUUUCAUUCACCUGCCUUCCCCGUGUUUGAACAGUGUCUGAGACAUAACAGGAGCGCCGCAAAUUCGCCGAAUGGAUUCAGGAACGUUCACGGGGCUUCAGGACAGGAGAGAGAGGAGCACGUGUCCGGCAUCGACUUUUGAACAAGCUUGUCUUUAACGGAGUGUGCCAGCCUGACGGUCAAAUGCACAGAUCACAGGCACACGGAUCGUGACAUCAUCACAAUGUGAGCACAGUAAGGUCCCCGCCACUCGGGUCCUGAUACUAAACGACUCCCACCCCGAAUCCGGAGCCUGCCACCCCCUCUCCGAACAUCGCCCCGUCUCCUCAAACACCUGCUGUCCUGACUGGUGAGUCCAGAGGUCAGCUUUGCCUGCUCUUCAUCUUCGAAGAUGAAGAUGAACUUCAUCUAAGUGGAACAAGGUGGGACGUGUCCUCUGCUGUCUGGCUUGUUCCCAGCCCACGUCGUGUUUGUGAGGUUCACACCGUUGGCCACAGCUGAAGUCCUUUUAUUUUCAUUUCUUAAUAGCAUUCUGUCGUCACCGUUCAUUUAUGUCUUCCACUGUCAACGGGCACGCGGGUCCACGACGCUCCGGAAACGUUCCUGCGCGUGUCCGGCCAGGCGUGCAUCUGGGCACAUUUCCGGGUGCGCCCUCGGAGUGGGGCGGCCGAGUCACGGGACAUCGUCCAGCUUCAGUGGGUGGGAGCAGCGUGUGAGCCACGUGCAGGAGCACUGACGGCCUCCCGUCCUUCCCUGAAUGUGGGGUCGCCCGGCUGGCUCUCGUGCCAUGUGUGUGACGAUCAUUCUCUGCUUUUACUUUGCGUUUUUAACGAGGCAGAGAACCAUUUAUUGUGUGUACUGGUCGAUUAGAAAAGUGCCCGUUCCAGGGUCCUCCUCAUGCCUCUCUCUUCUCUCUCCAUCUUUUCAUUUUCGUUACCGUUUUGUGGCAGCUCCCUGCUUACCCUGGAGCGUCAGCCCUCGGAGCCGGCCCGGGGACAGACGCCGGCUGGCACUGCCUCUGAGACCCCUUCCUGGGCGCCAGGCAGGGCACAGCACAGGUCAUUGGCCCCGUUCACGCUGUGCUCGGUGUUUUUGUCCCGGUUAAGAAAUCUGUGCUCAGUGUUUGAUUUGCGGGUUACUUAUUUGUCUAUCCUUUGCUUUCAAGGUUUCUGUGUUUUUAUUUCUAAGGUGUGUCUCUUAUAUGCGGGGUUAAAACAAUUUUUUUUUUUUAAGUUUUAAAAAGCAGCCUGUCAAGGGCAUUUGUCGUAACUGGGUAUGUGGUGUGCUUAUAUCUGAUGUCCACUGUUUGGGCUUAAAUGAACCUUUUCACUAUUUGCUUUCUGUGGGUUCCCUCCCUCUCCAUUGAUCCAAAACUUAAUUUUUACUCUUUCCCACCUGUGAGGUAUCAGCCUGAUUUUAGGGUGCUUUUCGGGGCUACCCUAGAGACGAAAAUGCACAUUUCUGACUCACAAAAAUCAAGUCAGAGGUAGUUAUUUUACCGUUUCCACGCGUGGCCGAGGACAGAGGUCCUUUGGGGCUGGUCGUCAUCCCGCGCGGGUGCUUUCCACAUCGUGACUCUUAUUUUUAGGAAAAUUUAACCCCCCGCUGUCCGUUAUUACCUUUGCUCUGUGGAGUCAAGUUCUCUGUGGAUUCACCCACAUUUACCCUUUCCUCCUCGCUCUCCUCCCUGCACCUUGGAGCCGCCGCCUCUGUCGGAAGAAAACCACCCCCACUCCAUCUUCCCUGCGGCCUGGCACGCGGUUGGUGACCCCCUGCAGUCUUUGUUGUCUGGAAAUAUAUGUACUGGCCCCUCAGUUCUCAAGGAUGUUUUUGCUGGUGUGAGUGUUCAGGGCAGGAGGUGCACGAGGCAACACGGCCAAAGCCCUCAGCAAACCGGAGCCCAGCAACGUGUCGAGAGAAUGACGCGCUCUGAUAAGCCGGGCUUUAUACCAGGGAUUCAAAGCUGGGUUAACAUCUGAAAAUGAAUCGAUGUAAUCAACCGUGGGAGCGGAACAGGGGAGAAAACCCGCCUGAUCUUACGGAGAAAUCACAAGCGAGCAUUAGACAAAAUCCGAUGCCAUUCGUGGGGAAAACAGACAGACACCCCUCAGCGCGAUGAGACAGAGGUCCGGAACUGAGGGGGCCACGUUCCCGACCGCAAGCCAGCCAGUCAGACGGCGGGCGGGGUUCACGGCCACCGCGAGACGGAGCAGGCCGUGGUCCACAGCAGCAUGUGCAGGGCCGCGGCCUUGAGCUCCAGCCCCGCGGGGUCUCGUGCGGGGCACCUGUGCGCGCCUGGCGCCAGGGGCCCGGAACGCGGAGGGUCUGCAUCGCCCCCUGCAGGCAGGAAGCGUGUCUGCACCUUGUUCGGGACGAGACCUUGUCUCUGCCCUCCCAGGCCGUCGGGAAAGCGGGGCUCAGGCUGGCAGCUCACGAGAGGUGCAGACCUGCAGGAAACCCGCGGCCCACCGAGCGUGUGCCCCGUGAGCGCCGGGGAAGACCUGCCCCAAGCAUCCUCCACGCGGUCCAAGACGGUGCGCCGUGCCCGAGAUCGGGGGCAGGGACGAUGCCCAGGAUCGCCACUCUGUUGAGGCUGAGCCUCUAGAUUUGAGGGCGACCGGAAACCCUGCUGGCCAUUUCAGUGGAACCACGGGCCGCGUAGAUAAACGUUGGGGAACCGGGUCUCCCCAGAGCGAGCCUUCCAGUCUGUGUGAGGCUGCUUUCUGUUCUUGAAGCGCUCUUUAAUUUCUCUCGGAGGUUUUGUGAUUUUCACUUUCGAGGUCUGGUGCACCUUUUGCACGAUUUACACUUCUAGGUACAUAUGCGAUUUUGGGGGGAUGAAGUAUAAAUGAUUUUGAUUUUAGUGGAAUUUUCAAACUUGUUUAGCAUUUGAGGAAAAUUAACUUCAGAGCGACCUUUUAUUCAGUGACCUUGCUAACUUUACCUCCUUGUUAUAAUGCUUAAUCUGUAGAUUAUUUGGGAUUGUC
This is a long non-coding RNA of Felis catus (domestic cat), 3718 nucleotides long. RefSeq lists it as uncharacterized. NCBI's taxonomy places the organism in Eukaryota, Metazoa, Chordata, Mammalia, Carnivora, Felidae. The transcript has 2 exons. The record is from RefSeq and is a predicted model, not a curated record.